This 615-nucleotide long non-coding RNA is filed under the name Elaeis guineensis (African oil palm). RNAcentral describes it as "long non-coding RNA (EGUI_LNC055261)". Lineage: Eukaryota; Viridiplantae; Streptophyta; Magnoliopsida; Arecales; Arecaceae. The record is from RNAcentral.
GUGGGAGUUAUGCAAGUGAUCCUUUGAUCUGAGAUCACCAUGGUACCUUAUGUACGUAAAUUUAUAUUUUGGUUCACUUCCUAAUUUGAUUCUCUGAUCCUUGUAUGGAGUGUUCUAGAUAUGAUGAAGUAUGCAUGAAGAUUGUGAGUGGUCAAUAAGAGAUCGAUCACUCAUAAUAAGGGGAGCGAACAUUCUAUGUGAUCUCAUAGGUUGAUGAUUUUGGAAGUCUUUGGCCAAAAUAUGAUGAUAAUUAGAAAAGAGUUUCUAAUAUAUCAUCUACUGAAUCAUCACCUUCUGAUCAAGGUAUCUUUAAAUAAGUAAUUAGGCUUGACAUGAUUCUAUACCCAUAGUUCAUUUGAGAUAUUGUUUGACUGAAGGAUUGAAUUACAUGAUAACUUACCACCGAAAGGUAUUUUGGUAAUUUUUAUCAAAUUUUAUCUCUUUCGAGUAGUUAUGACACAUUGCUAGAUAUCAAUCUUGACUUAUAGACUCUUUAGAAUUAAAAAUAUUUAAUUUAAGAAUUAAUUAGAAAAAGUCCUAAUUAAUUGGGACACUUGAGCUGACCUAGUCUGAUCAAAUUAGGAUUAGGUCAAGAGUCUGUGUCCACUGCUAGCU